CGUCUUAAAAGCAGAAGAGUAAACCUAUUUUUAUAGAGAGGGUGAUAGAUGGUGAAGCGUUAAGGAAUAUUUGGAAGGAUGGAAGGCCUACAGUUGGUGCACAUUUUUUCCUCUCCAAAGUGAAAAACGAGGACUUGGGAAUCUUUGAAAUCCCUCUUCAAUGUCAACGAGUUUAAACCACAAGCAAUGAUGAGAAAACCUCUCGGUAAAACAUAGAUAUACAAGUCAAAAAAAUGGAGAUUCAUAGCAGUUUCAUGAUGAUGAUAGACUGUGUUCUCCCUGGUCGACGUUUCAGAACUGGUUACAUGAAAUUAUUUUACUUUCACGAUGAAAUAGAGAAACUGAAAUAACUGAUUUUCCUUUGCCAGUCUUUUAGUUUUAGUACGUUGAGAUUCAAGUACCAUAUAUAUAUAUAUUUGCCAUUGUAAUUGAGUUUGUAUCGUCACAGUAAAUGCUUUUAAUCUUAUGGUUUGAAAACGUAAAGCUCACGAUUUGAAAAAGAGAACACAUUUCUCACGUGUCAGCGUUGUGAGUUUACUCCUGUUUCAAAUGUGCGGUUGUUUUGACAUUGAGUAACUAGUGUUAAUACUACUGCAUCUUGCGUUCUGAUGAUUUCGAUGUCAUACGAUAG
Molecule: non-coding RNA, 631 nt
Organism: Danio rerio (zebrafish)
Lineage: Eukaryota; Metazoa; Chordata; Actinopteri; Cypriniformes; Danionidae
Source: RefSeq